RNAcentral lists this non-coding RNA (96 nucleotides) under Aurantiochytrium limacinum. Lineage: Eukaryota; Bigyra; Thraustochytrida; Thraustochytriidae. The record is from RNAcentral.
GUCUCGCGCAUUCGCCUAGCUCGAGUCGAGAAUAUUGCGCAGGAGAGACUGCAAAACACGGCUUCCUCGAUAUCUCGGAAGCGGCCAUCUUUGUUU